Molecule: transfer RNA, 72 nt
Filed under: Brachypodium distachyon (stiff brome)
Lineage: Eukaryota; Viridiplantae; Streptophyta; Magnoliopsida; Poales; Poaceae
Rfam family: tRNA
About the family: Transfer RNA (tRNA) molecules are approximately 80 nucleotides in length. Their secondary structure includes four short double-helical elements and three loops (D, anti-codon, and T loops).
Source: Rfam by way of RNAcentral
UUGGCUGUAGUUUAGUGGUGAGAAUUCCACGUUGUGGCCGUGGAGACCUGUGCUCUAAUCCCAGCAGCCACA